AACGAACGCUGGCGGCAGGCUUAACACAUGCAAGUCGAACGGUCUCUUCGGAGGCAGUGGCAGACGGGUGAGUAACGCGUGGGAAUCUACCUAGUUCUACGGAACAACAGAGGGAAACUUCUGCUAAUACCGUAUACGCCCUACGGGGGAAAGAUUUAUCGGAAUUAGAUGAGCCCGCGUAAGAUUAGCUAGUUGGUGGGGUAAUGGCCUACCAAGGCGACGAUCUUUAGCUGGUCUGAGAGGAUGAUCAGCCACACUGGGACUGAGACACGGCCCAGACUCCUACGGGAGGCAGCAGUGGGGAAUAUUGGACAAUGGGCGCAAGCCUGAUCCAGCCAUGCCGCGUGAGUGAUGAAGGCCUUAGGGUUGUAAAGCUCUUUCAGUGGGGAAGAUAAUGACGGUACCCACAGAAGAAGCCCCGGCUAACUUCGUGCCAGCAGCCGCGGUAAUACGAAGGGGGCUAGCGUUGUUCGGAUUUACUGGGCGUAAAGCGCACGUAGGCGGAUUGGUCAGUUAGAGGUGAAAUCCCGAAGCUCAACUUCGGAACUGCCUUUAAUACUGCCAAUCUAGAGUCCGGAAGAGGUGAGUGGAACUCCUAGUGUAGAGGUGGAAUUCGUAGAUAUUAGGAAGAACACCAGUGGCGAAGGCGGCUCACUGGUCCGGUACUGACGCUGAGUGCG
RNAcentral lists this ribosomal RNA (680 nucleotides) under Devosia neptuniae. RNAcentral describes it as "bacterial SSU rRNA". It matches the Rfam family "Bacterial small subunit ribosomal RNA", at positions 28 to 755 of the family's 1533-position model. The record is from RNAcentral. Lineage: Bacteria; Pseudomonadati; Pseudomonadota; Alphaproteobacteria; Hyphomicrobiales; Devosiaceae.